AACGCACGAGACCUGCGGACCUGCGGAGGGAUCAUUACCGAGUUAUCCAACUCCCAACCCCUGUGAAUUAUACCUUUAAUUGUUGCUUCGGCGGGACUUCGCGCCCGCCGGGGACCCAAACCUUCUGAAUUUUUUAAUAAGUAUCUUCUGAGUGGUUAAAAAGAUGAAUCAAAACUUUCAGCAAUGGAUCUCU
RNAcentral lists this unclassified non-coding RNA (193 nucleotides) under soil metagenome. RNAcentral's name for it is "partial contains 5.8S ribosomal RNA, internal transcribed spacer 2, and large subunit ribosomal RNA". The record is from RNAcentral.